AGACCCGAAACCCGGUGAUCUAGCCAUGGGCAGGUUGAAGGUUGGGUAACACUAACUGGAGGACCGAACCGACUAAUGUUGAAAAAUUAGCGGAUGACCUGUGGCUGGGGGUGAAAGGCCAAUCAAACCGGGAGAUAGCUGGUUCUCCCCGAAAGCUAUUUAGGUAGCGCCUCGUGAACUCAUCUCCGGGGGUAGAGCACUGUUUCGGCUAGGGGGCCAUCCCGGCUUACCAACCCGAUGCAAACUGCGAAUACCGGAGAAUGUUAUCACGGGAGACACACGGCGGGUGCUAACGUCCGUCGUGAAGAGGGAAACAACCCAGACCGCCAGCUAAGGUCCCAAAGUCAUGGUUAAGUGGGAAACGAUGUGGGAAGGCCCAGACAGCCAGGAUGUUGGCUUAGAAGCAGCCAUCAUUUAAAGAAAGCGUAAUAGCUCACUGGUCGAGUCGGCCUGCGCGGAAGAUGUAACGGGGCUAAACCAUGCACCGAAGCUGCGGCAGCGACAC
Molecule: ribosomal RNA, 505 nt
Filed under: Salmonella enterica
Lineage: Bacteria; Pseudomonadati; Pseudomonadota; Gammaproteobacteria; Enterobacterales; Enterobacteriaceae
Description: partial 23S ribosomal RNA
Rfam family: Bacterial large subunit ribosomal RNA
Source: RNAcentral